This 494-nucleotide ribosomal RNA is filed under the name uncultured bacterium. Its description in RNAcentral is "partial 16S ribosomal RNA". It matches the Rfam family "Bacterial small subunit ribosomal RNA", at positions 28 to 507 of the family's 1533-position model. The record is from RNAcentral.
GACGAACGCUGGCGGCGUGCUUAACACAUGCAAGUCGAACGGUGAAGCGCCUUCCUUUUUGGUGGGUGUGGAUGAGCGGCGAACGGGUGAGUAACACGUGAAUAACCUGCCCCCUUCUUCUGGAUAACCGCAUGAAAGUGUGGCUAAUACGGGAUAUUCUGGGUCUGUCGCAUGAUGGGUCUGGGAAAGAUAUUGUUUCGGUGGGGGAUGGGCUCGCGGCCUAUCAGCUUGUUGGUGGGGUGAUGGCCUACCAAGGCGGUGACGGGUAGCCGGCCUGAGAGGGUGGACGGUCACACUGGGACUGAGACACGGCCCAGACUCCUACGGGAGGCAGCAGUGGGGAAUAUUGCACAAUGGGCGCAAGCCUGAUGCAGCGACGCCGCGUGAGGGAUGGAGGCCUUCGGGUUGUGAACCUCUUUCGCCAGUGAAGCAGGCCUGCCUCGUUUGUGGGUGGGUUGACGGUAGCUGGAUAAGAAGCGCCGGCUAACUACGUG